AACGAACGCUGGCGGCAGUCUUAACACAUGCAAGUCGAGCGCCCCGCAAGGGGAGCGGCAGACGGGUGAGUAACGCGUGGGAAUCUACCCAUCCCUACGGAAUAGCUCCGGGAAACUGGAAUUAAUACCGUAUACGCCCUACGGGGGAAAGAUUUAUCGGGGAUGGAUGAGCCCGCGUUGGAUUAGCUAGUUGGUGGGGUAAAAGCCUACCAAGGCGACGAUCCAUAGCUGGUCUGAGAGGAUGAUCAGGCACAUUGAGACUGAGACACGGCCCUAGCUCCUACGGGAGGCCGCAGUGGGGAAGAUUGGACAAUGGGGGCAACUCUGCUCCAGCCAUGCCGCGUGAGGUAUGAAGGCCUUAGGGUUGUAAAGCUCUUUCACCGGGGAAGAUAAUGACGGUACCCGGACAACCAGCCCCGGCUCACUUCGUGCCAGCAGCCGCAGUAC
This 447-nucleotide ribosomal RNA is filed under the name uncultured bacterium. Its description in RNAcentral is "partial 16S ribosomal RNA". It matches the Rfam family "Bacterial small subunit ribosomal RNA", at positions 29 to 523 of the family's 1533-position model. The record is from RNAcentral.